RNAcentral lists this ribosomal RNA (1056 nucleotides) under uncultured bacterium. RNAcentral's name for it is "bacterial SSU rRNA". It matches the Rfam family "Bacterial small subunit ribosomal RNA", at positions 448 to 1501 of the family's 1533-position model. The record is from RNAcentral.
UCGGAGUAACUGCCGGUACCUUGACGGUACCUAACCAGAAAGCCACGGCUAACUACGUGCCAGCAGCCGCGGUAAUACGUAGGUGGCAAGCGUUGUCCGGAAUUAUUGGGCGUAAAGCGCGCGCAGGCGGUCCUUUAAGUCUGAUGUGAAAGCCCACGGCUCAACCGUGGAGGGUCAUUGGAAACUGGAGGACUUGAGUGCAGAAGAGGAGAGUGGAAUUCCACGUGUAGCGGUGAAAUGCGUAGAGAUGUGGAGGAACACCAGUGGCGAAGGCGACUCUCUGGUCUGUAACUGACGCUGAGGCGCGAAAGCGUGGGUAGCGAACAGGAUUAGAUACCCUGGUAGUCCACGCCGUAAACGAUGAGUGCUAAGUGUUAGAGGGUUUCCGCCCUUUAGUGCUGCAGUUAACGCAUUAAGCACUCCGCCUGGGGAGUACGGCCGCAAGGCUGAAACUCAAAGGAAUUGACGGGGGCCCGCACAAGCGGUGGAGCAUGUGGUUUAAUUCGAAGCAACGCGAAGAACCUUACCAGGUCUUGACAUCCCGCUGACCGGUAUAGAGAUAUACCUUUCCCUUCGGGGACAGCGGUGACAGGUGGUGCAUGGUUGUCGUCAGCUCGUGUCGUGAGAUGUUGGGUUAAGUCCCGCAACGAGCGCAACCCUUAAUCUUAGUUGCCAGCAUUCAGUUGGGCACUCUAAGGUGACUGCCGGUGACAAACCGGAGGAAGGUGGGGAUGACGUCAAAUCAUCAUGCCCCUUAUGACCUGGGCUACACACGUGCUACAAUGGAUGGUACAAAGGGUCGCAAAACCGCGAGGUCAAGCUAAUCCCAUAAAACCAUUCUCAGUUCGGAUUGCAGGCUGCAACUCGCCUGCAUGAAGCCGGAAUCGCUAGUAAUCGUAGAUCAGAAUGCUACGGUGAAUACGUUCCCGGGCCUUGUACACACCGCCCGUCACACCACGAGAGUUUGUAACACCCGAAGUCGGUGGGGUAACCCUUUUGGGAGCCAGCCGCCGAAGGUGGGACAGAUGAUUGGGGUGAAGUCGUAACAAGGUAACC